AUGUUACAUGUUCAUACAAGAAAAUUUUCAAAAUGAUCCUCCGACUAUGGCAUUUUUUCAAAUUGGUCAUUUGACUUUUAAUUGCACCCAAAG
Molecule: long non-coding RNA, 93 nt
Organism: Ipomoea nil (Japanese morning glory)
Lineage: Eukaryota; Viridiplantae; Streptophyta; Magnoliopsida; Solanales; Convolvulaceae
Exons: 3
Source: RefSeq, a predicted model, not a curated record